GCAGGCGCGAAACCUUUACACUGUACGCAAGUGCGAUAAGGGGACUCCGAGUGUGAAGGCAUAGAGCCUUCACUUUUGUACACCGUAAGGUGGUGUACGAAUAAGGGCUGGGCAAGACCGGUGCCAGCCGCCGCGGUAAUACCGGCAGCCCGAGUGAUGGCCGAUAUUAUUGGGCCUAAAGCGUCCGUAGCUGGCCGGACAAGUCCGUUGGGAAAUCUGUUCGCUUAACGAGCAGGCGUCCAGCGGAAACUGUUCGGCUUGGGACCGGAAGACCUGAGGGGUACGUCCGGGGUAGGAGUGAAAUCCUGUAAUCCUGGACGGACCACCGGUGGCGAAAGCGCCUCAGGAGGACGGAUCCGACAGUGAGGGACGAAAGCUAGGGUCUCGAACCGGAUUAGAUACCCGGGUAGUCCUAGCUGUAAACGAUGCCCGCUAGGUGUGGCGCAGGCUACGAGCCUGCGCUGUGCCGUAGGGAAGCCGAGAAGCGGGCCGCCUGGGAAGUACGUCUGCAAGGAUGAAACUUAAAGGAAUUGGCGGGGGAGCACUACAACCGGAGGAGCCUGCGGUUUAAUUGGACUCAACGCCGGACAUCUCACCAGCUCCGACAGUAGUAAUGACGGUCAGGUUGAUGACCUUACCCGAUGCUACUGAGAGGAGGUGCAUGGCCGCCGUCAGCUCGUACCGUGAGGCGUCCUGUUAAGUCAGGCAACGAGCGAGACCCGCACUCCUAAUUGCCAGCAGUACCCUUUGGGUAGCUGGGUACAUUAGGUGGACUGCCGCUGCUAAAGCGGAGGAAGGAACGGGCAACGGUAGGUCAGUAUGCCCCGAAUGAGCUGGGCAACACGCGGGCUACAAUGGUCGAGACAAUGGGAUGCAACUCCGAGAGGAGGCGCUAAUCUCCUAAACUCGAUCGUAGUUCGGAUUGAGGGCUGAAACUCGCCCUCAUGAAGCUGGAUUCGGUAGUAAUCGCGUGUCCGAAGCGCGCGGUGAAUACGUCCCUGCUCCUU
RNAcentral lists this ribosomal RNA (1007 nucleotides) under uncultured haloarchaeon. RNAcentral describes it as "bacterial SSU rRNA". It matches the Rfam family "Archaeal small subunit ribosomal RNA", at positions 335 to 1338 of the family's 1478-position model. The record is from RNAcentral. Lineage: Archaea; Methanobacteriati; Methanobacteriota; Halobacteria; Halobacteriales; Halobacteriaceae.